CAACGAAAUUCGCCUGCGGCGAGUGAAAUAUGGCUUCGCCAUGUGAAAUACGCCUUCGGCGUGUGAAAUA
Molecule: small RNA, 70 nt
Filed under: pig gut metagenome
Description: Gut-1 RNA
Rfam family: Gut-1 RNA
Source: RNAcentral